GUUGCUUAGGAAAUGAAUAGAAGUUCAGCCCCCUGGCCUUCUUAGGACCUCAAGGUAAAACUAACCUUGUCCCAAAGAAACCAAGAGAGUUAAUCAAAGGAGGUACAGCUCCUUUGAACAAGGACACAACCUUAACAGGCGGCUAAGGAUCAUAAUUACUAAGGCAACCUGUUACAGUGGGCCUAAGAGCAGCCACCUGCAUAGAAAGCGUUAAAGCUCAGACAGAUAUAAGCCUCUUAUCCUGAUAAAAAAUCCUACCCCCCUAACCGUACUAAGCCGUUCCAUGCUCACAUGGAAGCGAUUAUGCUAGAAUGAGUAAUAAGAGAGGACAACUCUCUCCCAGCACAUGUGUAAGUCGGACCGGACCCACCACCGACAAAUAACGAACCCAAGCCAAGAGGGAACUGUAGCCCAGAACAAAUACCGAGAAAAACCUACAUCAACAAAUCGUUAACCCCACACAGGAGUGCUCACAGGGAAAGACCUAAAGGAAGAGAAGGAACUCGGCAAACACAAGCCUCGCCUGUUUACCAAAAACAUCGCCUCUUGUAAAUCAAAACAUAAGAGGUCCCGCCUGCCCUGUGACUAUGGGUUUAACGGCCGCGGUAUUUUG
This 613-nucleotide ribosomal RNA is filed under the name Salmo salar (Atlantic salmon). RNAcentral's name for it is "partial 16S ribosomal RNA". It matches the Rfam family "Bacterial large subunit ribosomal RNA", at positions 852 to 1897 of the family's 2925-position model. The record is from RNAcentral. Lineage: Eukaryota; Metazoa; Chordata; Actinopteri; Salmoniformes; Salmonidae.